ACAGUACAAACUGAGCAGGCAGUAUUUUCCGUAGGAAAAUAUGUGGCCGGGUCGUAGGGCUAAUGGAAAAUGUUGGCCUGAGACAGCAGAAACCGAAGCGGUAAAGCUUCUGCACAUCUGCGGGACAGU
This 129-nucleotide non-coding RNA is filed under the name bovine gut metagenome. RNAcentral describes it as "NiCo riboswitch". It matches the Rfam family "NiCo (Nickel/Cobalt) riboswitch aptamer". The record is from RNAcentral.